GGAGGGUUCGCAUAGUGGUCUAUUGCGCCGCACUUGAAAUGCGGUUGAGGGAAACCUCUCGCAGGUUCGAAUCCUGCACCCUCCG
Molecule: transfer RNA, 85 nt
Filed under: Candidatus Liptonbacteria bacterium
Lineage: Bacteria; Candidatus Liptoniibacteriota
Description: tRNA-Ser
Rfam family: tRNA
About the family: Transfer RNA (tRNA) molecules are approximately 80 nucleotides in length.
Source: RNAcentral